AGCGCGGCUCACUCACCUGCAGGCGGACGUUGAGCAUCAUGGAAGCCACGAUGUAGAGGUAGGGGAAGUUGAUGCGCAGCCGCCAGGCCAGGUCGAAGAAGAUGAGCAGCGUGCGGGUCAGCCCCUUGCAAAAGACCCCAUAGGAGCGGGCGGCGGCCGAGCGCGAGAGGCGGACAGCCAGGCCCGACAGAGCCGCCGCCAUAUAGACCGGCGCCCGCCGCCCGCCCGCCGCGCACCGACCGGCCGCGGACUCGGGCCGCCCGGCGCUCCGAAGCCCGCCCGCCCUCUCGGCGCCGCGUCGCCCCGGGCCGCUGGGCCGCGCUCGGCGCGCUGAGGGAGCGAGGGAGGCGGCGGCGACGCCAGGGGCGGGCGGGCGGCGGGGAGCGGAGUCCACGCGUCACACUCGGGGAAGCUCCUUCGCGAGCCGCUGCCUGGUCCCAGCCGGGCCGCGCGGCCUGACGUCACAAUGCCCGCGCCGCGCCUGCGCACCUCUGCCCCGCCCCCUACCCCGCCCCUUGUCACCUUCCGCAGGUGAGACGCGCAUGCGUGGGCCAGGAGCGGCUGGAUGCUCCCCCAGAGAGGCUGAUGCGUUGUCUCCGUCUGCCCCCUAAAGGAGGACUUCCUCUAACCCAUUCCUUGUGCUUCCGGUGGGCUGUGAGUCACAGGAGGGGCUCCCUUUUCCCCAACAGGCAGAUUGGAACUUACACCAUCAACUCUCUUGGUCCUCAGGCCUUUAGCCUUGGCCUAGAACUACGGCUCUCCCAGGUCCCCAGCUUGUAGCAGAUGAGAGUGAGGGGGACGGAGGAGCUGAAGCAGGCUCCACACUGACAGCAAUGAGCCUGAUGCGGGGCUCGAACUUACGAACUGUGAGAUCAUGACCUGAGUGAAGUGGGAUGCUUAACCAACUCAGCCACCCAGCUGCCGCAAGGUUUUAGGUCUUGAUGGAGUUUUGCAUUACAGCUGCGUAGAUUUGUCAAAAGUCAGUGAAUGGUAAACCUAAGGUUUGUGCAUUUUAUUGUAUAUAGUUUUACCUUAAAAAAAGAUAAUUACAUGUGUGCUAAAGUGUUUAAAGGUGAAAAGUAUUGAUUUCUCUAACUUCUUUUGAAAUGCGGCCAAAAAUUGAUGAAUUGAUUGUUUUAAAGUUUAUCCAUUUUUUUUUGAGAGAUAGAGAGAAAGUAGGGUGGGGGGCAGAGAGAGAGAGGAAGACAGAGAGAAUCCCAAGCAGGCCCCGCACUGUCAGUGCAGAGCACAAUGCUGGGCUCGAACUUGCCAACUGUGACAACAUGAGCUGAGCUGAAGUCAAGAGUAGAACACUUAACCAACUGAGCCACCCAGGCGCCUCUUGAUGAAUUGUUAAACGGAUAAAUAGAUAUGUGAUAAAGCAUAAAUAGGAAAAUGCUAAUUGGAGAAUUUAGAUGGAUAUGUGGACGUUCACUGUACAUUCCUUUCAACUUUUCUGUGUCAAAAUUUGUAUAAUAAAAUGUAGGGGGGAAGCAAAGAGAAAAAGAGAAGUACAGGGGUAGUGUGACCAUUCACAUCAAGAACUACUUCUCUAUUGUCUCCUCGUUACUUUUUCAGUGUUGUCACAUCCUCGUUCUGUCACCAGAGCCCAGCUGGUCCACAACAGUGCUGGUUUGUCUUUCACUAUCCCUGGCUGUCCACGCUGGGGGAAGUAGGAGGAAGUGGCCAGGAAUACAGACAGCAUGUGGUUUAUGGCCACAAAAUUUCCCCGCUCCCAAGUGGGCUGGUCAUAAAACAGUCACCAUCCCCAGUGUGGGGGUGGGGGCCCUUCUCCCCUCUGCUGUGUUGCAUCUCUGGCUUCUGCGCUCCAGCUUCUUUUGGUUUAUUUCCUCCUCGUGGAGGAACACAUGUUCCAGAAGCUUCCUGGGAUAUGGUGUGUGGGAGAUAAAACUUUUUUAAGAACUGACUUGUCUGAAAAUGUUCUCAUUUCACCCACCCACUUGAUCGAUAGUUUGGCCGUGAAUAGAAUUCUCAGUAAAAAAAAUCAUCUUUCUUCAGCAUCUGGAAGGCAUACUGCUCCAUCAGGGCAACUGUUGGGAAAUCUGAAGCCAUUCUAUUUCCUGUUUCCUUGUGUUUUCUCUUUGGAAACUUGUAGAAUCUUAUCUGUUCCCAUUGUUCUCAAGUUUUCACAAUGAUGAACUCAAGGGCGGGUCUAUUUUUUUAUUCACGGGGCUGGCAUUUUCUGUCUCUGAACUCAAGUCUGGGAAAUUUCCCUGAAUAUUUUCGUGGAUAUUUUCCUCCUUUGCUUUUUCUUUGUUCUUUGUUUUCUAUUACAGGAUAUUAUUAGGAUGACAGUUGGACUUCAUCAGCUAGUUCCCUAAUGUUCUCACCAUUUCCUAUUUUCUAUCUUUCCAUGUCUUCUGGGUCCUCUGAGAGAUUUUCUCAUCUUUCUGUUG
Long non-coding RNA from Acinonyx jubatus (cheetah), 2417 nucleotides. RefSeq lists it as uncharacterized. The transcript is spliced from 4 exons. Lineage: Eukaryota; Metazoa; Chordata; Mammalia; Carnivora; Felidae. The record is from RefSeq and is a predicted model, not a curated record.